This 253-nucleotide ribosomal RNA is filed under the name uncultured bacterium. Its description in RNAcentral is "partial 16S ribosomal RNA". It matches the Rfam family "Bacterial small subunit ribosomal RNA", at positions 524 to 776 of the family's 1533-position model. The record is from RNAcentral.
UACGGAAGGGGCUAGCGUUGUUCGGAAUUACUGGGCGUAAAGCGCACGUAGGCGGCUUGGUAAGUUGGGGGUGAAAUCCCAGGGCUCAACCCUGGAACUGCCUCCAAAACUGCUAGGCUAGAGGAGGCGAGAGGUUGGCGGAAUUCCGAGUGUAGAGGUGAAAUUCGUAGAUAUUCGGAAGAACACCAGUGGCGAAGGCGGGCAACUGGCGCAUUUCUGACGCUGAGGUGCGACAGCGUGGGGAGCAAACAGG